GCUCGGCAGCCGGGUUCCUGUAGCAGGCAGGACGACAGGCAGGAGGACACGCAGGCAGAGAAAAAUCUACUUUCAAGAAUGAAAGCAAUUCUCAAGACCUUCACCUUUUUCACCGAGCCAGAUUGGUAUUUUUCCAAGGAACAGAUGCAGGACACCCAAAUUUCAAGCACAACAUCAAAGAAGUCCCUUCUGCUCAUUUCAUUUUGUAGAAGAAGAGAAGAAUAAAACUUCUCAUAUCUCCCUGGACUGCACAAGCGUGAGCGCUGUUAGUUGUCACUCACACAAGCAACACAGGAGCAUAAAGAGGGUCAACUGAAGGAUCAGCUCAUUACUGUGAUUUAAGAAUAGAGGGGACAAAUGCGGUUCUCAUCAUAAAUAUUUUCUUUCUUGUUCUGUACUGCAAAAGGAAAGACAAUUAGUGCUGUGCUUCAAAGUCACAAUUGCAAUCCCAAUCUUAUCGUUCAUGUUGGGUUUAAUAUAAACAAAGUCUAAUUGCAUAUACAGCUUUGUAAAUCCUCAGCAUCAGUGGAGCUACCCUGGUGGGAGAUCAGUAUUAGGUACAGUAUUUCCUCCCUGCCAGUAACAGGUUUUGAAUGGAAAGCCUGGAAUGUAAAAAAAGAAAUAAUGCUAAAAAUCCAAUCACUCUGACAUCCUGUGAGCUAAUAAGAGCACGUGAAUGCAACAAGCUUAGUACUUCACAGUAAUUAAUUUGACAGCAAAGAGCUAACAAGAAAACAACAGGCAGAGCAGUGAUGACUGGUUCAUAGAGGUCACUGUCAAACAAGAAAUAGGUGCAAACACAGUCCCUCUCCCUUUGGAAACAACUGUUUCAUUGCCCCAAUAAGAAUAAAAUGCCAAAGGGGGAAAAUAUCAUGGGUUUCGUGGGGAUAUCAAAUCUGAGAAGGUAUUUCUAGUAGUAAAAUAAGGUAGAGGUUUUCUUUUUUACAUAUGGUGAUUUUUAAUCAUCCCUGUUACUCACUACAGUGGCAUGUUUUGGCUUUUGCUUUCCCACCCCCCUCCCCCUUUCUCGGUUAGCCAAAGCCAUUUUGCAUAUUCAAAUAUUGGGAAGACUUAUCUUCUCUCACAAUUACUAGCAAACUAAUACACUAAUAACCUUUAUUGUUAUUUAAAGUGUGUCCAACACAGUGUUCUGGAGGCAGUUCUCACACAAUGGACUCUCUCUGGCUUCCUCCUAGAGAAGAACUUAAUCAAACCUCACAUGCUUUCAGGCAGAAGAGCCUUCAGGGAGAGCAAACAGGGUUAACAGAACGAAAUGUGCCAUCUGAUUUCUAAUCUUGCUCAGGGAGCAUGGCCUAUUGAUUGAGCCAUAAAGCUCUGUUAAUUUUAAGAUAUCCUCAGCUUUCAGUUCUUUCCCUUGGGCAUAAACUUGUUGCUUACACGUAGUGGCUGAGCUAUCAGGGAAAGGGUAGCUUCAUCCUCCCCCUCUCCACUCUCCUCCCCUCCUCCCCUCUAUUCUAUUUGUUCUGAGCUCAUCUGCGUGAGGAUACAUUUUCACACACACCUUCUCAAACCGGCUGCUAUUCAUCUGAUUCAGGGUCAUGCUUUUCCAUACAUUAAAUGCAAGGGAAAACUGGGAAGGAAAUGGCUGGGAUUUGUGCUUGACGGGCAAGCACACGAUUAGCCAGGGAGCCCUGCUGUGAGAAAGUACUGCGUCGGAGGGUAUUUUCUGUGGAAUCAUCAAGUCUCAUGACUGGAAUCUGAUGCUUAUAAAAAGCUACUAGUAUAAUGAAAACAGUAUACACUGAGAUCCUCAGCCAGUGGGAAUCGGCUUGUUUCUGAGAGAUCAAACCGCUACAGAAUCACUGAGUGGGUAAGGUUGGAAAGGACAAUCUGAUCCAACCUCCCUGCUCAAGCAGGGUCUUCCUAGCUAUAAUUCUUCCUCUAUAACCUAGAUAUUUGCUUGUGCACAUUUUUCUGGUGGAGGCAGAAGUCACGCUUUUGGAGAGGCCAGUUAGUGUGGCCCUGCACCUUCCUGAGUUGGUGGAAGCUCUGGAAACUGAGCAGUGAUGGCACAAAGCAGCUCCCUCAUUCUGUGUUUCCAUGAUACCCUCAGUGGGACCACAAACAAUUUACAUUAGUGAAGGAUCUAGCCCCUCAUCUAUUGCUAAAGCACCUUUUAUGCUCCUAAACCAUUAAUAAUAUCUAUUAGGUAACCCUACUAAUCCCUUUGAGGAAGGAUUUUCUUUACUGUACUGGUGGGUGAACUGAAUAAAAGCUUCACAUAUAAGAAGCCUGG
Myiozetetes cayanensis is the source of this 2257-nucleotide long non-coding RNA. RefSeq lists it as uncharacterized. The record is from RefSeq and is a predicted model, not a curated record. NCBI's taxonomy places the organism in Eukaryota, Metazoa, Chordata, Aves, Passeriformes, Tyrannidae. The transcript has 2 exons.